GGAUGAACGCCGGCGGUGUGCCUAAUACAUGCAAGUCGUACGCAGGUGCUUGCACCUGAGUGGCGGACGGGUGAGUAACACGUAGGUAACCUGCCCCGGAGCGGGGGAUAACAUUUGGAAACAGAUGCUAAUACCGCAUAACAACAAAGCCGCAUGGCUUUUGUUGAAAGAUGUUUGUAUCACUCUGGGAUGGACCUGCGGUGCAUUAGCUAGUUGGUAAGGUAACGGCUUACCAAGGCGAUGAUGCAUAGCCGAGUUGAGAGACUGAUCGGCCACAAUGGAACUGAGACACGGUCCAUACUCCUACGGGAGGCAGCAGUAGGGAAUCUUCCACAAUGGGCGCAAGCCUGAUGGAGCAACACCGCGUGAGUGAAGAAGGGUUUCGGCUCGUAAAGCUCUGUUGUUGGAGAAGAACGCGCGUGAGGUAAUUCACGCAGUGACGGUAUCCAACCAGAAAGUCACGGCUAACUACGUGCCAGCAGCCGCGGUAAUACGUAGGUGGCAAGCGUUAUCCGGAUUUAUUGGGCGUAAAGCGAGCGCAGGCGGUUGCUUAGUCUGAUGUGAAAGCCUUCGGCUUAACCGAAGAAGUGCAUCGGAAACCGGGCGACUUGAGUGCAGAAGAGGACAGUGGAACUCCAUGUGUAGCGGUGGAAUGCGUAGAUAUAUGGAAGAACACCAGUGGCGAAGGCGGCUGUCUGGUCUGCAACUGACGCUGAGGCUCGAAAGCAUGGGUAGCGAACAGGAUUAGAUACCCUGGUAGUCCAUGCCGUAAACGAUGAGUGCUAGGUGUUGGAGGGCUUCCCCCUUCAGUGCCGGAGCUAACGCAUUAAGCACUCCGCCUGGGGAGUACGACCGCAAGGUUGAAACUCAAAGGAAUUGACGGGGGCCCGCACAAGCGGUGGAGCAUGUGGUUUAAUUCGAAGCUACGCGAAGAACCUUACCAGGUCUUGACAUCUUGCGCUAACCUUAGAGAUAAGGCGUUCCCUUCAGGGACGCAAUGACAGGUGGUGCAUGGUCGUCGUCAGCUCGUGUCGUGAGAUGUUGGGUUAAGUCCCGCAACGAGCGCAACCCUUGUUACUAGUUGCCAGCAUUGAGUUGGGCACUCUAGUGAGACUGCCGGUGACAAACCGGAGGAAGGUGGGGACGACGUCAGAUCAUCAUGCCCCUUAUGACCUGGGCUACACACGUGCUACAAUGGACGGUACAACGAGUCGCAAACUCGCGAGAGUAAGCUAAUCUCUUAAAGCCGUUCUCAGUUCGGACUGUAGGCUGCAACUCGCCUACACGAAGUCGGAAUCGCUAGUAAUCGCGGAUCAGCAUGCCGCGGUGAAUACGUUCCCGGGCCUUGCACACACCGC
RNAcentral lists this ribosomal RNA (1358 nucleotides) under uncultured bacterium. Its description in RNAcentral is "bacterial SSU rRNA". It matches the Rfam family "Bacterial small subunit ribosomal RNA", at positions 27 to 1393 of the family's 1533-position model. The record is from RNAcentral.